Molecule: ribosomal RNA, 519 nt
Filed under: uncultured bacterium
Lineage: Bacteria
Description: bacterial SSU rRNA
Rfam family: Bacterial small subunit ribosomal RNA
Source: RNAcentral
AGAACUUAGCAGAGAUGCUUUGGUGCCUUCGGGAACUCUGAGACAGGUGCUGCAUGGCUGUCGUCAGCUCGUGUUGUGAAAUGUUGGGUUAAAGUCCCCGCAACGAGCGCAACCCUUAUCCUUUGUUGCCAGCGGUCCGGCCGGGAACUCAAAGGAGACUGCCAGUGAUAAACUGGAGGAAGGUGGGGAUGACGUCAAGUCAUCAUGGCCCUUACGAGUAGGGCUACACACGUGCUACAAUGGCGCAUACAAAGAGAAGCGACCUCGCGAGAGCAAGCGGACCUCAUAAAGUGCGUCGUAGUCCGGAUUGGAGUCUGCAACUCGACUCCAUGAAGUCGGAAUCGCUAGUAAUCGUAGAUCAGAAUGCUACGGUGAAUACGUUCCCGGGCCUUGUACACACCGCCCGUCACACCAUGGGAGUGGGUUGCAAAAGAAGUAGGUAGCUUAACCUUCGGGAGGGCGCUUACCACUUUGUGAUUCAUGACUGGGGUGAAGUCGUAACAAGGUAGGCGUAGCGAG